Molecule: ribosomal RNA, 613 nt
Filed under: uncultured bacterium
Lineage: Bacteria
Description: bacterial SSU rRNA
Rfam family: Bacterial small subunit ribosomal RNA
Source: RNAcentral
GAAACUCAGGCUAAUACCGCAUGAGCCCUUCGGGGGAAAGCAGGGGAUCUUCGGACCUUGCGCUAUUGGAUGAGCCUAUGUCUGAUUAGCUUGUUGGUGGGGUAACGGCCUACCAAGGCGACGAUCAGUAGCUGGUCUGAGAGGACGAUCAGCCACACUGGGUACUGAGACACGGCCCAGACUCCUACGGGAGGCAGCAGUGGGGAAUAUUGGACAAUGGGCGCAAGCCUGAUCCAGCAAUGCCGCGUGUGUGAAGAAGGCCUGCGGGUUGUAAAGCACUUUCAGUGGGGAGGAAAAGCUCAAGAUUAAUACCCUUGGGUCUUGACGUUAUCCACAGAAGAAGCACCGGCUAACUCUGUGCCAGCAGCCGCGGUAAUACAGAGGGUGCAAGCGUUAAUCGGAAUUACUGGGCGUAAAGCGCGCGUAGGCGGUUUGUUAAGUCGGAUGUGAAAGCCCCGGGCUCAACCUGGGAACUGCAUUCGAUACUGGCAGGCUAGAGUAUGGUAGAGGGAAGUGGAAUUCCGGGUGUAGCGGUGAAAUGCGUAGAUAUCCGGAGGAACAUCAGUGGCGAAGGCGGCUUCCUGGACCAAUACUGACGCUGAGGUGCGAAGCG